This 274-nucleotide ribosomal RNA is filed under the name uncultured marine eukaryote. RNAcentral describes it as "partial 18S ribosomal RNA". It matches the Rfam family "Eukaryotic small subunit ribosomal RNA", at positions 618 to 908 of the family's 1831-position model. The record is from RNAcentral.
GUUAAAAAGCUCGUAGUUGAAUUUCUGGUCAGUUGUAGUCUUGGCUUCGGUCGGGCUAUGGCUGGUCAUCCGUUUGCAAGCUGCACUCGGCCUUCACUGGUUCGGUGUAGUGAGCUGACAUUUUACUUUGAAAAAAUUAGAGUGUUUCAGGCAGGCUUUUGCCCGAAUACAUUAGCAUGGAAUAAUGGAAUUGGACUUAGGUUCAUUUGGUUGGUUAUUGGAUCUGAGUAAUGGUUAAUAGGGACAGUUGGGGGCAUUAGUAUUUAAUUGUCAG